This is a non-coding RNA of Brachypodium distachyon (stiff brome), 136 nucleotides long. The record is from Rfam. NCBI's taxonomy places the organism in Eukaryota, Viridiplantae, Streptophyta, Magnoliopsida, Poales, Poaceae.
GGUGUAUUCCCUCUGUCCAAUAAAGGAUGUCUCAACUUUGAUUAAAUUUGAAUACAUUUAUAUACUAAGCCACAUCUAGAUACAUCUAAAUUUUGACAAACUUGAGACAUCUUUUGUUGGACGGAUGGAGUAUAUG